CUGGGCGUAAGAGCAUGUAGGCGGGUAUUUAAGUCAGGAGUGAAAACUAUGGGCUCAACCCAUAGCCUGCUCUUGAAACUGGAUACCUUGAGGGUAUGAGAGGAAAGCGGAAUUCCCAGUGUAGCGGUGAAAUGCGUAGAUAUUGGGAGGAACACCAGUGGCGAAGGCGGCUUUCUGGCAUACAACUGACGCUGAGAUGCGAAAGCGUGGGGAGCGAACGGGAUUAGAUACCCCGGUAGUCCACGCCGUAAACGAUGGGUACUAGGUGUAGGAGGUAUCGACCCCUUCUGUGCCGUAGUUAACACAAUAAGUACCCCGCCUGGGGAGUACGGCCGCAAGGUUGAAACUCAAAGGAAUUGACGGGGGCUCGCACAAGCGGUGGAGCAUGUGGUUUAAUUCGACGCAACGCGAAGAACCUUACCAGGGCUUGACAUCCUCUGACGUCUCAAGAGAUUGGGAGUUUAGGAGCUUGCUCUUAACAGAGAGACAGGUGGUGCAUGGUUGUCGUCAGCUCGUGUCGUGAGAUGUUGGGUUAAGUCCCGCAACGAGCGCAACCCUUAUCUUUAGUUGCCAGCAAUUCGGUUGGGCACUCUAGAGAGACUGCCGGUGACAAACCGGAGGAAGGUGG
Molecule: ribosomal RNA, 628 nt
Filed under: uncultured bacterium
Lineage: Bacteria
Description: bacterial SSU rRNA
Rfam family: Bacterial small subunit ribosomal RNA
Source: RNAcentral